This 3625-nucleotide non-coding RNA is filed under the name Pan troglodytes (chimpanzee). Lineage: Eukaryota; Metazoa; Chordata; Mammalia; Primates; Hominidae. The record is from RNAcentral.
ACGGCCUCAGUGAAAGGGAACCGCUGGUGACAGGGCCUACAGACCCCGACCAAAAAGCGCAUAUAACUCACGUGCAGGCUUCAAUGCACAAAGAUCCCGGGGGCCGGCGGAGCAGGGUCGGAGAGCGUGACAGCCCCUGCCCUGAGACCCCGGCUUUAUGUGCUACGCAUCCACGCGUGGCACUGCCCCUUCCAUGCAGGCUCCUUCCGUGGAUAAAGUGACACAUUUUGUUUUGUUUUUUUUUUUAAGAUGCAGUCUCGCUCUGUCGCCAGGCUGGAGUGCAGUGGCGCUACCUCGGCUCGCUGCAACCUCCGCCUCCCGGAGUCAAGCAAUUCUCCUGCCUCAGCCUCCCGAGUAGCUGGGACUACAAGCACGCGCCACCAUGCCCCCCUAGUUUUGGUAUUUUUAGUAGAGACGGGGUUUCCCCAGGUUGGCCAGGAUAGUCUCCAUCUCUUAUCCUCAUGAUCUGCCCGCCUUGGCCUCCCAAAGUGCCGGGAUUACAGGCGUGAGCCACCGCACCUGGCCAAGUGACACACUUUGUAAGACAAAAGCCAUUUCGUGAACUUCUACACUCAUGAAGUGUGUCUGGGAGGCCCCCUCCUCUGGGCACCACUGCCCUACGAUGGCUCCAUCUGUAGCCUCCUUUUCCAAGAGGACUUAAGACUGACAAUAAAUGGAUCCCAGAUACAGAUUCCCCGGCAAGCGGCAAACGUCCAUCCCCAUUACCGGAAACCUCCAGAUACUUCACACUUACUGGCAGCCCAGGACACGGGGACCCAAAUCCUUGCCUGCCCUGUGCAGUGGCUCUCAAGGCCAGGAAGGGGGGCUCGUGCUCAGAGCCAGGCUGGCCUGCCUGCUCACUUCUGUUUGCCAGGGCACCAUCAUCUCCCACCAAGGAUGAACCUGAAGCUUCAGGGCAACGAAGAGAAACCCAGAAGGGAAGGGACUUGCAACCAAGGCUGCCCAAAGUGGCCCCUUGUCCAGGCCCAUCUCUAAAUACAACCCACACCGAGGAUGCCUGGUGGGGCAGAAGUCCCUGGGUCUCGUUCCUGUCAGGGGCGAGUGAACCUUCGCAACCUCCCGGGGCUUUGGAAUUUGACUUAAUGACGAAGGGCAACAUGGACCGCUGGACAAAGACCUGGAGUUCCCACUACCUGCACCGCUCUGGCCAAUCCCAUUUGGAAAUCAGUCAGCAAGAUUCGCUCUCCUCUGGACUCUGAGCCCCCGGGAGGAGAGGAUGGGAGAGGUCAAGCGUGUGCAAUUCUGUUGCAGCCUCACAACCAACAAGCAGCCGUGUUCCGAUGGCUCUGCCGGAAGCCCAGAGGGACUCCCGUGGCUCAAACGGGGGCAGAGACAUGCAGGGCCCCGGGGCACGUGAAGGUGAGAGACAGAACAUACCGUGAAGAAGCCACUGAGAGCGGGAGACAGAGGCAGGAACAGGGAUGACACUGGAGGACAGCAGGCCUGCCUGGAGGCCAGCAUUCUCUACAACCUUCCACGAACCAACAGCAAAGCCCGCUCCGGGCCACGUGCCUGGCAGCUGCUCAGCCACUGCCCCGCUCCUCCCUAGGCAAAAUCUCAGGGAAGCACCUUGCAUCGUUUCCAUUUCCUCACCUCUUACUCUUCCUUGAACAGUCCCCCCAAGAAACUGCCUACCCACCAUCAACAACUGGCACAGGGCAGAUCCACGGGUCAGGCUGUGUGCACCUGACCGCUUCAUAACCCCUGCGUGGGCAGCCAGCACCCUCCAUCAGAAACCGUUUGAUCCCGUGGCCUCUGGGUCUCCAUCAUUCGAGCUCGGGAGCAACAUCCCAUCACCAUCUCCUCUCCUCGGUGGGCCCCUCCUCGUGUUCACCCCUGCACUGGGGGAACCCAGGCUCCACUCACAGAGGAGCCAACCUCUGGGCAGCCUGCCAGCUCGCUGUGAAAGUCCUCACGGCCCUGACUCCUCCUGGAGCUCUGCUGGCAGCACCUAAGUGCCCACUCAGACCUGAAUGGCGGCACCAGCGGAUGCAUGAAAUGCCAGCCCAGCACCCGCCCCGGUCUCUCCCAGCUCAGCAGCAGACACCGCUGUGCGCUAGGCUUGAGGGCCACCUCCCAGGAGCCGCCCCUGACUCCAUUCUCUUGACCGGUCUGUUCAUCAGACCUCGAUCACGGCCCCUGCCCCUGCUCUCCUGCCCGUUCUCCCGCCUGGCCUAGGAGAAGCCACAGCAAACCCCACAUUCCCCGCCACAAAGAGAAGGAAGUCCAGAGUCAGUGCCAGGCUGCCACGGCUCAGGGGCCCAGCCCACCACAGCCUUUCAUGCCCCCCCACACACUCCUGCCCAGGAGUUGAAAGAGCCCCACACUGCCGCCAGCCCCUACCCAGCCCUAAGACUCUUGGCAGCACAUCUUGCUGCCGGGAAGCCUCUGACACGGAUCGUCAGUGCACGUCCAGCUCCUCCACCAAAAUCGAAGCUUCUCGUGGGCAGAGACGCCACCCGGCAUAGCAGCGCAUCCCCAUCACCCAUCAACCUGCACUUGGCAAGCACCUCCAAACAGAGAGAGCACACACACUCCGCCGGCAGCCGAAGGAGCUGCAGGAUGGUGCUGAGAGUGGGAGCAGGCCAGAACAAAGCUCUAACACAGAAGAGCCGGGUGCUGGGGAGAGACGGGGAGGACAGGUGGGAGGACUCAGGCCCCUCCCCAGGCAGGAUGGGGAGGCCACGACACUUGGGCCAGCUUGGAGGGUGGCGGGGGAGGAGAAGAGCAGAGGCAGACUGCACCUGCUGGGGGCGACGACGGUGUGGCGUGGCCAGCCCAGCCACUGGCAGGCCCACAGGUCAGCUGGAUGGGGCAGAGGUGGGGCCCACCCCAACUUCCACCGGGCCUUGCCUCCCAGAUUCCUGAGCCAAGGUUUAAUAACAGAAAAGAUGGCGCUCUAGGGGAGCAAGGGACACCGACCAAGCAAGCCGCAGCAGCGAGGACUGUGCUGGAGCCACAUCAGUGGCUUCUCCGGGAAGUAACGUCCUGUGCAGACUCACAGCCACACCCUGGCGCUGCCUCGGCUGCCUCCCUGAAUGUCAGCGGCCUGAGGGACCCCACUCGGCAGGGAGCGGGGGCUGCUUGUGGGAACACACAGGGUCUGAUUCCAAGUGAGAGGGGUGACUGGUGUGGCUUCAGACGGCACCAACCACGCAAAGGAUACACAGCUUCUCGUCGUCCUGAAAUGUGAAGUAAAGCUUAACAAAGAAGGGGUGAUCCAGGCGCGACAUGACAUCCCGCUCUCUGGUUACAUACGGGACCUUGUUCUCUUUUAUGAUAUGUCGCUUCUCCAGAAUUUUAACUUCAGGUGAGAGAGAAGUGAGUUACUAUCAGAAACAACAAAAAACACUAAAGACAUGACUCACAAAGGUAACUGGUACAAAUUAAAGUCUUUCAAACAUUGUACACAACAGCCUGGUGGUCUCUAAAGCCAACAGUGUCCCGUACCCUGAAAUCAGCACAGAAACACCGGCCCUGCCACCCCGGCCGCCCUGCACGGAGCCGCUUGCCCUGCUCCCGGAUGCGCAGCUCCCUGCAGCCCAUACUCACUCGCAUAUUCUCUGGAGGUUGCCAGUUCUCGAGCCAGGACAACCUGGUUUGG